Long non-coding RNA from Hordeum vulgare subsp. vulgare (domesticated barley), 562 nucleotides. RefSeq lists it as uncharacterized. The transcript is spliced from 2 exons. The record is from RefSeq and is a predicted model, not a curated record. Lineage: Eukaryota; Viridiplantae; Streptophyta; Magnoliopsida; Poales; Poaceae.
AUGCACACUCUUUGGCGGACGGAGGGAGUAUGAUAUAAAGGCGGAUAAUUUUCUUGUUGUCUUAGGCCGUAAGGCCAGUCAGGUAAUGCAUUAGGUACUACAUGAGCAGCAUCUAUUUUUUCUCAAUGUGAUGCCAAGUUAUCUCGCACCAAAUGUGAUCAAAUCUGAAAAGCUGAUCUCUGGCCCGAGUAUGAUUUUGUUUCUCCAAGUACUUGCAGAAAGGAUAAGCCUAUUCCCUGAAUGUUGUGACAUAUAACAGUCAGUUGUGCUUGAUGUGGAAACAAUUAAAUUGAUUUUUAACGUCCAAGGCCAGAGCAUUGAAUAAGGCAGAGUUAGUCCUGAGAUAAAACUCUCGAUAUGUUGUUUGAUGAGAGCCGGGAUACAGUUCUAUUCCGGGUCACAUUAUCCCCAGUUUUUUGUACUCUACUUACGAAGAGAGAUUUAUGCCUGUGUGUAAUGCUUCUCAAUUGGGGGGUAGUAGAGUGUCUAUAUGUAAGACUACAAUGUAGAAUUUCUUGCGGGUCAUCAACAAUUUUUGAAUGCAUUGAUAUUGUUUAGAUAA